Molecule: long non-coding RNA, 180 nt
Filed under: Cavia porcellus (domestic guinea pig)
Lineage: Eukaryota; Metazoa; Chordata; Mammalia; Rodentia; Caviidae
Description: lncRNA (ENSCPOG00000033288.1)
Source: RNAcentral
AGAGUAUGUACGUGUGAUCAGAGAGAAGAUUAAGGAUGGAAAGACUGGAAAGAAGAAACGAACAGAUAGAUAACACAACAAACUGAAGAGUGGAAGAUACAUGGAGGGAAAGAGAAAUGAGGUUAAAAAAGGAGGGCAUUUUUCAUUUGAUACAUGCCAUUAUUGUCUUCUGUGUUAUUG